GAAAUAAAGUGGAUGACUCGACUAAAAGGUACGUCUAACAGGAAUAAAAGAAAAUGACUCGACUAAAAGGUACGUCUUCUAGGGGUCAAGGGGAAUGACUCGACUAAAAGGUAUGUCUUAUAGGAAUUAAAGGGAAUGACUCGACUAAAAUGUAUGUCUCCUAGGAAUCAAGGGAAAUAAAUUAACUAAAAGGUACGUCUGCUAGGAGUCAAAUGGAAUGAUUCGACUAGAAGGUACGUGUUUUUGGAGUGAAGGUUCAAUUUAAGAAGUGUAUCACCCAGAAAAUGAAAACCGAAAUCCCUGGACAAGAAAGUAUGUCUCCGAGGGAUAUAAGAUAAUGAACUUUUACCAUAAUUUAAUUAUCAAACCUGUGCAGUAACAUCGCUUCUUGCAUUUGUAAAAGUAAGAAAUUAUGGGCUUUGAUGUUUAGGCUUUGAAAUCCUUAAUUUGAAGGUAAUAUGUGUUCCUGUUUCAUGCAAAGAAAAGUUACGAGUUUAAAAAUAUGGAGGCAGGUUUUUGGCUUUGGCUUUCGUGGCAAACACUGUUGCCGUCAUCAUAUUUAACCUUGCUUCCAACCAUUACAUAUAUCAUUGACUUGAUGCAUCAUUAACCCAAACUCAGAUUAUUAAGAGUGACUGAAACAAACAUGGUAUCUCUGCUUUUCCAUGCUUCUCAAAUAAACCCUUUGAACCUUGUUAUUUUCAUGAGUUUCCAGACAAUUGACAAAAGUUCUUGCAUGCCUUAUUUCAGCUCACAAUCAUGUCUUUUUCAUGUGCUGACUUUUGUCUUGCUCUGUGCAAUU
This 802-nucleotide long non-coding RNA is filed under the name Capsicum annuum. RNAcentral's name for it is "long non-coding RNA (CANN_LNC021343)". Lineage: Eukaryota; Viridiplantae; Streptophyta; Magnoliopsida; Solanales; Solanaceae. The record is from RNAcentral.